GAUGAACGCUGGCGGCGUGCCUAAUACAUGCAAGACGAGCGUAUGGACGAGAAGUUUGCUUCUCAGAUGUUUGCGGCGGACGGGAUAGUAACACGUGGAUACCCUCCCUAUCAUACCGGGAUAACCUCGUGAUACCGAAGCUAACAUCGGAUAAUAUUUAAAACAACUUGGUUCCACAAUGACCGACGAUUUUGCUGUCACUUAUAGCUGGAUCCGCGCGGCAUGAGCUAGUUGGUAAGGUAAAGGCUUACCAAGGCAACGAUGCAUAGCCGACCAGAGAGGGUAAUCGGCCACACCAGGACUGAGACACGGGGCAGAGGAUUACAGGAGGCAGCAGAAGGGAAGCCUGCGCAGUGGGCGAAAGCCUGACGGUGCAACGUCGCGUGAGGGAAGAAGGUCAUCGGAUCGGAAAACACUGAUAUUAGAGAAGAACAUGUGGGAAAGUAACUGUGCACAGCGUGACGGUACCUAAUCAGAAAGCCACCGCGAACUACGUG
RNAcentral lists this ribosomal RNA (497 nucleotides) under uncultured bacterium. Its description in RNAcentral is "partial 16S ribosomal RNA". It matches the Rfam family "Bacterial small subunit ribosomal RNA", at positions 28 to 507 of the family's 1533-position model. The record is from RNAcentral.